This 205-nucleotide unclassified non-coding RNA is filed under the name plant metagenome. Its description in RNAcentral is "partial contains small subunit ribosomal RNA, internal transcribed spacer 1, and 5.8S ribosomal RNA". The stretch from base 155 to 205 matches the Rfam family "5.8S ribosomal RNA", at positions 1 to 51 of the family's 154-position model. The record is from RNAcentral.
GUAGGUGAACCUGCGGAAGGAUCAUUACAAAUCAUUGCGAGUUUAGUAGGGAGCUUUACGGCUUUCUAUUAAAUGAGCACAUUGGCACAAGGUCGCAAGAUCUUGAUGUUUACGCUUGUUUGUUUGACAGAGUAAAAUGUGACUAAAUAUAUACAACUUUUAACAAUGGAUCUCUUGGCUCUUGCAUCGAUGAAGAACGCAGCAU